RNAcentral lists this ribosomal RNA (497 nucleotides) under uncultured bacterium. RNAcentral describes it as "partial 16S ribosomal RNA". It matches the Rfam family "Bacterial small subunit ribosomal RNA", at positions 28 to 507 of the family's 1533-position model. The record is from RNAcentral.
GAUGAACGCUGGCGGCGUGCCUAAUACAUGCAAGUCGAGCGAACAGACGAGGAGCUUGCUCCUCUGACGUUAGCGGCGGACGGGUGAGUAACACGUGGAUAACCUACCUAUAAGACUGGGAUAACUUCGGGAAACCGGAGCUAAUACCGGAUAAUAUAUUGAACCGCAUGGUUCAAUAGUGAAAGACGGUUUUGCUGUCACUUAUAGAUGGAUCCGCGCCGCAUUAGCUAGUUGGUAAGGUAACGGCUUACCAAGGCAACGAUGCGUAGCCGACCUGAGAGGGUGAUAGGCCACACUGGAACUGAGACACGGUCCAGACUCCUACGGGAGGCAGCAGUAGGGAAUCUUCCGCAAUGGGCGAAAGCUUGACGGAACAACGCCGCGUGAGUGAUGAAGGUCUUCGGAUCGUAAAACUCUGUUAUUAGGGAAGAACAAAUGUGUAAGUAACUAUGCACGUCUUGACGGUACCUAAUCAGAAAGCCACGGCUAACUACGUG